This 367-nucleotide RNase P RNA is filed under the name Nitrospirota bacterium. Its description in RNAcentral is "Nitrospirae bacterium (groundwater metagenome) RNase P RNA component class A". It matches the Rfam family "Bacterial RNase P class A". Rfam says of the family: Ribonuclease P (RNase P) is a ubiquitous endoribonuclease, found in archaea, bacteria and eukarya as well as chloroplasts and mitochondria. Its best characterised activity is the generation of mature 5'-ends of tRNAs by cleaving the 5'-leader elements of precursor-tRNAs. The record is from RNAcentral. Lineage: Bacteria; Pseudomonadati; Nitrospirota.
AAGCAUUGCUUGCUGACAGGCCCCCACUUCUCAUAGGGGAGAGAGGAAAGUCCGAACUCCACAGGGCAUGGCGCUGGAUAACAUCCAGUCCUGGCAACAGGAAGGAAAGUGCAACAGAAAAAAAACCGCCUUUUUGAAAAAAGAGGUAAGGGUGAAAAGGCGAGUUAAGAGCUCACCGGCAGCCAGGUGACUGGCUGGCUUUGAAAACCCCGCCUGGAGCAAGACCAAAUAGGGAAGCAUGGGAUGACCCGUCUAAAGCUUCCGGGUUAGGUCGCACGAGAAAACAGGUAACUGUUUUCCUAGAGAAAUGAUCAUCGCCUGGGUCACGUAACCGGGAACAGAAUUCGGCUUAUGGGCUAUCUUAAUU